GUGAAUCUUUUGAAAGAUUUGCAACAUUUUCGCCGAAGGAAAACGGGACAGAUUCACUCAUCACUACUAGUUACUGAUGUUUUUGCUCAGGCCCUCUUGUAUUCAUUUUCCAUUCUGCCUUAUAUAAUGCGGCCUUAGCAACCAGAUACCAGUAAAUAUAUAAAAACCACCAAAACUGUAAUAUAGCAAAUUCUCUCAGUAUCACGCUGUCUUUUGGUUUUAAGGUGGACUACCCCUUUAUUAGUUUAAUAAUCUACUGCUAUAUAAACAGUUCAUCAUAAAUGAACCGCUAUAAAGUUUUUUUUUUAGCAUUGAAUAAUGAAAUGAAAUCAUUAUCCAAAACAAGACAUUCAGUAAAUGCUCUACUGAUUGUGAUUAAAAAGCAGCUUUAGUUUCCCUGUCUGUGACCCAGGACUACAUUAGCCGUGAUGUCACUGCAGCAGCUGCUGGUGAUGUCACAAUGGCUGGGGAAUCAGUUUCUGUUGAGCAACAGAAAUCCAGUUCAGUUGCGUGUUGGGAGCGAGCGGAGCAACAUGUUGCAGAGCUUUAUCUCAAUAUUUACUUUAUUUUUUCUAUUUUUACUUGCGAAAGCAAAUCCAAUGGAUAUUCCAAAAGCAGAACCUGAAACUGCAAAUGGUUUCCUUCAGUUCGUCGCAUCUGUUGUGAAGGCCAGAUAUGCACUUCAGCAAAUCCAAUGGACAUUGAUCAUCAUUACUAUAUGUUUCAUUCUGGUUUUGAUCGGUUUAUUUUCCUUAUACUGUUGUUUCCGG
Molecule: long non-coding RNA, 770 nt
Organism: Xenopus tropicalis (tropical clawed frog)
Lineage: Eukaryota; Metazoa; Chordata; Amphibia; Anura; Pipidae
Exons: 3
Source: RefSeq, a predicted model, not a curated record